Molecule: ribosomal RNA, 62 nt
Filed under: Stenia glatzii
Lineage: Eukaryota; Viridiplantae; Streptophyta; Magnoliopsida; Asparagales; Orchidaceae
Description: partial 26S ribosomal RNA
Source: RNAcentral
GCGACCCCAGGACGGGAGAGGCCACCCGCCGAGUUUAAGCAUAUCAAUAAGCGGAGGAGAAG